RNAcentral lists this long non-coding RNA (288 nucleotides) under Populus trichocarpa (black cottonwood). RNAcentral describes it as "long non-coding RNA (PTRI_LNC004834)". Lineage: Eukaryota; Viridiplantae; Streptophyta; Magnoliopsida; Malpighiales; Salicaceae. The record is from RNAcentral.
UUUUUGCCCAUUGAUCCUUGUAUUGUUGUAACUCUUUUAGAUGAUGAUCUUUGCACUUGCGAGUUUUAUUGACCAUCUAGAUCGAUUCUCAACGGACGUCGUCCUGUGUUUAAUUUGCCCUCCUGUAGAUGAACUCCAUUCAAGGACAAACACCCACCUGUCUGAUGUUUGUGAAAAGUGAUAGAUGAAACAGUUAAAACUAACAGCAUACAUCCUUGCUUGCAUCCUCCGCCAUGGUUUUCUGACUGCCACUUCCCCAGGUGGAUCGUCCCCCUGCUAUAAACACUC